GAUGAACGCUGGCGGCGUGCCUAAUACAUGCAAGUCGAGCGAACAGACGAGGAGCUUGCUCCUCUGACGUUAGCGGCGGACGGGUGAGUAACACGUGGAUAACCUACCUAUAAGACUGGGAUAACUUCGGGAAACCGGAGCUAAUACCGGAUAAUAUAUUGAACCGCAUGGUUCAAUAGUGAAAGACGGUUUUGCUGUCACUUAUAGAUGGAUCCGCGCCGCAUUAGCUAGUUGGUAAGGUAACGGCUUACCAAGGCAACGAUGCGUAGCCGACGUGGGAGGGGGAUCGGCCACACGGGAACGUGGACACGGUCCAGACUCCUGCGGGAGGCAACAGUAGGGAAUCGUCCGCAAUGGGCGAAAGCCUGACGGAGCAACGCGGCGUGAGUGAUGAAGGUCUUCGGAUCGUAAAACUCUGUUAUUGGGGAAGAACAAAUGUGUAAGUAACUAUGCACGUCUUGACGGUACCUAAUCAGAAAGCCACGGCUAACUACGUG
RNAcentral lists this ribosomal RNA (497 nucleotides) under uncultured bacterium. Its description in RNAcentral is "partial 16S ribosomal RNA". It matches the Rfam family "Bacterial small subunit ribosomal RNA", at positions 28 to 507 of the family's 1533-position model. The record is from RNAcentral.